RNAcentral lists this long non-coding RNA (480 nucleotides) under Lathyrus oleraceus (garden pea). RNAcentral's name for it is "Pisum sativum (pea) long non-coding RNA (PSAT_LNC012109)". Lineage: Eukaryota; Viridiplantae; Streptophyta; Magnoliopsida; Fabales; Fabaceae. The record is from RNAcentral.
AACACUCUGCCUUUUACCACUCAAUUUGCUCUUUUAGUUCUUUAGAGAAACCAAAAUGAAUCAACACAAAGAAAUCAAUUUCAGAUGAUAAUCAACACACAAAAAACAGCAAACAAAAAAAAGAGACUCUAAAACAAAGGAAACAAGGAGAAUUUUAAGAGUGUGGCAAGAAAAAGAAAAUAGAACUUUUCUCUCUUUUUUUUUUUUUGAAUCACAAUCUUUAACAAUGAGAUCCUUUUUUUAUAUUUUUUUUCUUCUUAUAACUCUUUUUUUUUUUCGAAUUUUUUUUAUAAUGAUAAAUGGAUAAUAAUGAAAGAACAAAGAAUAUAGACGAUUUACCACAUUUUGGCCCUUUUUUUUUUGGAAUAUGCUCUGAUUACCACUUGAUAUGAACUAACCUUUGAGACUUAUGCAUUUCCUUCAAAAUUCCUGAAACAACUUUGUUAACUUUUGGAAUAUUAAUUCUUUUGUGACUCAGAG